GCAUAUAAUAGCUGAGUACCAAAAGAGUUUUGCAGUGCCAUCUGGUGGCAGUUCGAAACGGAGAAUUCUUAGGAUAUUCAAUUCAGUCAGCUCUCAUGAUUACCGUACAUGUUUAGAUAUACUGGAUUUGUGAUUUGAGGGGUUGUGGUGCAUAUAUGGACGAGACGUUCGAGAUCCUGAUGCAAUACAGAGACGGAUCGGUGCAUCGAGGUGC
This 214-nucleotide long non-coding RNA is filed under the name Elaeis guineensis (African oil palm). RNAcentral describes it as "long non-coding RNA (EGUI_LNC021902)". The record is from RNAcentral. Lineage: Eukaryota; Viridiplantae; Streptophyta; Magnoliopsida; Arecales; Arecaceae.